GAGUAACGCGUAAUCAACCUGCCCUUCAGAGGGGGACAACAGUUGGAAACGACUGCUAAUACCGCAUACGAUCCAAUCUCGGCAUCGAGACUGGAUGAAAGGUGGCCUCUAUUUAUAAGCUAUCACUGAAGGAGGGGAUUGCGUCUGAUUAGCUAGUUGGAGGGGUAACGGCUCACCUAGGCGACGAUACAUAGCCGACCUGAGAGGAUGACCAGCCACACUGGAACUGAGACACGGUCCAGACUCC
This 247-nucleotide ribosomal RNA is filed under the name uncultured Veillonella sp. RNAcentral describes it as "partial 16S ribosomal RNA". It matches the Rfam family "Bacterial small subunit ribosomal RNA", at positions 108 to 339 of the family's 1533-position model. Lineage: Bacteria; Bacillati; Bacillota; Negativicutes; Veillonellales; Veillonellaceae. The record is from RNAcentral.